This 339-nucleotide ribosomal RNA is filed under the name uncultured soil bacterium. RNAcentral's name for it is "bacterial SSU rRNA". It matches the Rfam family "Bacterial small subunit ribosomal RNA", at positions 26 to 368 of the family's 1533-position model. The record is from RNAcentral.
AGAUUGAACGCUGGCGGAAUGCUUUACACAUGCAAGUCGAGCGGCAGCGCGGGGCAACCUGGCGGCGAGCGGCGAACGGGUGAGUAAUGCAUCGGAACAUGUCCAUGUCGUGGGGGGAUAGCCCGGCGAAAGCCGGAUUAAUACCGCAUACGCCCGAGAGGGGAAAGCCGGGGACCGCAAGGCCUGGCGCGAUGGGUUGGCCGAUGUCCGAUUAGCUAGUUGGCGGGUAAGAGCCCACCAAGGCGAUGAUCGGUAGCUGGUCUGAGAGGAUGAUCAGCCACACUGGGACUGAGACACGGCCCAGACUCCCUACGGGAGGCAGCAGUGGGGGAAUUUUGG